GGUUCAUUAGUUCAGUUGGUUAGAAUGCUUGCCUGUCACGCAAGAGGUCAGGGGUUCAAAUCCCCUAUGAGCCGCCA
This 77-nucleotide transfer RNA is filed under the name Lachnospiraceae bacterium. RNAcentral describes it as "tRNA-Asp". It matches the Rfam family "tRNA". Rfam says of the family: Transfer RNA (tRNA) molecules are approximately 80 nucleotides in length. The record is from RNAcentral. Lineage: Bacteria; Bacillati; Bacillota; Clostridia; Lachnospirales; Lachnospiraceae.